UGCCCAAGACAACUGAAAAGUAAAAGCAAAAUCCCCUUAAAUCUUUAACUUUCUGAUUGCUUUUACAACCUGCAUUAACUCUUUCAUUUCAAACGUCAUUCCAAAUGUCGAACCCCAUCAUCUUCUCCCCUCUCCUUUAACUCUGAAUAACCAAGGCGAUUUAACUUUGAUACAUCACAGAUCGAUCGUGAAGUCUCUCCCACCAGUCUGAUAUCCCAACUGGAUCCCUAACCUUGUUGCUUGAAGUCCUGCAUAUGCUUCUGCUGCAAACGGAGAUGCAACAUUUUCAUGAAGGAUUGAUUUUGCUUCAACAAUUCUACCCUCCUUAUUUUUAACAAUAAGACCUGAUGCAGAUCUGUGAUUCUGUGAGUCAAAAGCCGCAUAAAAAAAUGGACUUAUUUGCCCUUUGUACUCGCUGUUUAGGCCUUGCACUGGCUUCCAAGCUUGUUCCUGCUUGUCCAGAUUACCUACAACCCGCAACAAAAUCCCACGCACUGUUCAUUUGUCCCUUCUCUGAAGACCCACGGCACCGUUGGAAGACAUGGAUGCAAUCUUCUUCUUCCUGACCACAUCUCGAACAACUUCCUUCCGUCAUUACUCUUCUUAGCUUAAGAUUGGAAAAAGUGGGAAUGUAAUUCCACGCUAUUUUCCACACUGUAAUUUUAAUUUUAGAAGGCAUAUGUAGAUUCCAUAGUUUCCUGUAAAAGUUUUUAGAAUCGACCUGUAAAUAAUCAUUAGGAUCUAUUGUAGAUUCCUGUAAUAGUUUAUAGUCGCUUCUUACUGUAAAAAUCCCAGUUGCCUCUCCUCUCCAUACUUGGAUGUCUUCGUGAAUAGUCUUUGAAAGCGGGAUCUGCAAUAUCUUCCCUGCAAUAUUCGUAUUAAAGUCACUCCCGGCACCCAGCGAUCAUUCCAUAUUGAGAUAUGAUCUCCUACCCCUACCCUCCAGCAUAAACCGUCCAUCAAAAGUUUUUUUGACGACCAAAUACUCCUCCAGGUGAGGGAAGGUAGGUUACUUAAAGGAGCAUUCAUGAAGUUCGUUCUCGGAAAAUAUUUAGCUUUUAAAACUCGGGCUAACAAAGAACUUGGAUAAUUAAUAAGACGCCAACCCUGCUUAGCUAAUAAUGCUAUAUUGAACUUAUCUAAACAUCUAAAGCCUAAACCACCCAAUUCUUUUGCUAAACAAAUGUCCUUCCAUGCGCACCAAUGUAUACCUUUACUCCCAUUGUUUUUCUGCCACCAAAAUUUUGCAAUAAUACACUCUAAUUCCUUACAGAAAGACUUAGGGAGUAAAAAACAAGACAUCGCAUAUGAUGGUAUAGAUUGUAAAACUGCUUUGAUGAAAAUCUCCUUACCUCAUUGUGAAAGAUAUUAAAUGCUCCAGUUGUCAAUACGUUGCUUGAAUUUAUCUUUCAAAAUUUGGAACGCUGCCUUUUUCCUCCUUCCCACCAAGUUAGGUAGCCUUAGGUAAUUUUCCAUAUCAUCAGAUCUUCGCACCCCAAGAAUUUGGGUUAUAGUACGUCUUUCCCCCUCUUGUGUGUUGCUGCUAAAAAAAAUCGUAGACUUCGAAUAAUUCACUUUCUGACCUGAACAAACUUCAUAAUGAUGCAGAAUCUGUUUUAACUGAAUUGAACUCCUCUCUGUAGCAUCCCCAAACAGCAUACAAUCAUCUGCAAAAAGUAAAUGUGAAACCUACGGCCCACUUCUGCUUGCCUUAACACCUCUGACUUUCUUCUCCUGCAUUCCUAACUUCAUGAGGCUAGAUAGACCUUCUCCACAGAAUAAGAAUGGACUCAACGGAUCCCCUUGUCGUAGUCCUCUAGUGGGAGAAAAAGUUUCUCCAAUGUGUCCAUUAAGAACCACCGAAUAAGAAACUGUAUUCACACACCUGAAUAGUGAAGCCACCUAUUCCAAGUCGAAUCCCAUUUUCUUCAUCAUCUCUUCCACAAAAUUCCAUUCUACCCUAUUGUACGCCUUACUCAUAUCUAACUUGACUGCCAUAAAUCCUUUUUUCCCCACCUUCUUUUGUUUUAACGUAUGGAGUAAUUCGUAAGCCAGUAACACAUUACCCGAGAUCAAUCUCCCAGCUAUAAAAGUACUUUGUGCAGAGUCAAUGCAUGUGUCUAGUACUUUUCGAAUACGAUUUGCAAUAACUUUAGCCAUUAAUUUGUAUAUAACAUUACACAAACUAAUGGGCCUAAACUGUGUCAUCUCCUUUGGGUUUGAAGUUUUAGGGAUUAAAACAAUAUUUGUUUUGUUGAUUGGGCCAAUCUCCAUCCCUCCAUUCAAAGGACUCAGACAAAAAGUAAUUGCCUCUUCCUCAAUAAUUGCCCAACAUUUUUGAUAAAAUAAUGCAGGAAAACCAUCUUCCCCUGGUGCCUUCGUGGGUCCUAAUUUCGACGACGCCUGCUGGAUCUCUUCCGUUGUAUAUCUCUCUUUUAGCGUUAGAUUGUCCUCAUCCGAUAUACAAUGAGAAACUCCAGAUAGAACAUGCUCAAAAUUUGUUCUUCUGCCAGCAGAAAAAAGUUUUUGAAAAUAUGAUUUGGCUAUCAAUUCCAUUUCCUUUAAAUCAUCCGUUUCCCUCUUGUCAUCAUACUGCAAUUUACUUAUCAAAUUCCUCUGCCGCUUCUGUGUUGUUUGUAUAUGGAAAAAGGUUGUAUUUUUAUCCCCAAGUUUUAGCCAGUUAACCCUCGCUCUUUGUUCCCAAUACCGUUCAUCUUUAUCAAUCUCCAAAUUCAGUUGGAUUUUCGUAUCAAUCAGAUCGACUAAAUUAUCUUCAUCUCUUUCAGCCUCUAAUAAUGUGACCAGUUUAGAGGAUAACUAUUUUUUCCUUCCUUCUCUAGAACUUCGAACUCGUCUAGCUCAUUGCUCCAAUCCCCUUUUCAUACUAUUUAACUUGCUUAAGAACUUGCCCUCAGAAUGCCCCCAAAUAUUUUUCACCUCAAUUAAGAAUGAAUCCUCCAGCACCCACCAUGCUUCAAACUUGAAAACUUUUUGAGUUCUCUCUCUAAAGUCCUUUUUUGUAUUAACCAAUAAAGGACAAUGAUCAGAAAACGUAUGUGGAAGGUGUAGAAUCUGAAAUUCAGGGAAUUUUUGCAACCAUUCUUCAUUUGCCACUCCCCUAUCCAAUCGCUCUUGGAUAUUAUUUUCAGGAAGAUUCUCUCUUUCCCAUGUAAAUCAAUUUCCAAUAAACUCCAUAUCAAAUAGUCUGCACUCCUUUAAUGUCUUACGAAAAACUUCCAUUCAUCCUUCCUCUGGCGGUAAACCACCUUUUUUUUCAAAACUAUACAUAAUUUCGUUAAAGUCUCCACAAACCAUCCAUGGUAGCUCCCCAACGGUGCCUAAAUGUCGUAAUAGGUUCCAUGCCUCUGCUCUUUCUUGUGGAUAUGGCGACCCAUAAAAACCUGUAAACCUCCAUUUGCACCCUUCUUCUGCUUCAUCAAUGAUCACAUCAAUAUGUCGUUUUGAAAAACUUUAAAGUUGAACGCUUUCCCCUUCUCGGCACGCCAAGCAUAACCCACCUCUAGAACCAUCAGAGCCAACAUCAAUGCCAUUAACAAACCCACAACUUCUUCUAACUUUUUCCAUAUGAUUACUAUUUAUUUUUGUCUCCAUAAAAAAGAUUAUAUGGGGAUUAUGUAGCUUCAGCAUAUACCGAAGUCUUCGAAAUGUCCGUGGACUCCCCAAUCCACGAAUAUUCCAACUUAAAAUUUUCAUUGCGAUCGGUCGGCUUGCCACUUGGCAGUCGCCGAUAAUUGAUGACUAACAUCUACUACUUUCUUGCUCCUUUCGGCCAAAAUGUUAGUCCCCUCUUUGGCCAAGGUAUCUUCCAUCUCCCUUCUAUUUCUCUUUUUGCCCUCCUCUCCAACGAUCACUUCAUCUUCAAGAUCAUGUUCCAUUGAACUAUUCUCCAAGUUAUCUCUCCAGUUCCUAGUACCCUUCGCUGUGUAAUAUUCCCUCCCUGCCAAAUUUAUUCCCAAAACUGGAUCAAGAAAUUUACUGCUGCCUCUACUUUCCAUUGGACCCCUGACAUAAGUCCCCCUAUUCUGCCUUUCCCCAUUACUUCCUCUCCCUUGUACCUCGCUUCCUUCUCGCAACCAUACACUUGUCAUCAUUUGAGCUCGACGAGACUGCGCCUUCAGUGAUAAAUCCCAUCCCAUCUCUUUAGCUUCUAGUCCCACUUCCAUCCUUACUUCAUAAAAGGAAUCAUUAUGGCCCAAACGACCGUAAUAAAAGCAAAAAAGUGAGUCUUUCAUAUUUAAAUCGAACAUAUGAGCACUUUCCAUAGCACAUUAUUUGUCUUUUCCUUUUUAAUGGCCGCCUUACAUCGAUUCUGACACGUAUCCUCAUGAAAUUUCUACUUUCUCUCCCCAGAUUUGAUCCAUCAUAUUCCAUAAACUCUCCUAUGAAAUUCCCCAUUUGAAUUGCCAAAUUUUCGGAUACAAAACCAAUUGGGACGUCAUGUAUUAGGACCCACAAAGGUGAGUGUAUUAAAGGGAUCGUCAAAGGAUCCUCCCCCCUUAGAAACUUAUGGAUGAUCAGUAAGUGAUUGUUAAAUGUCCAAGGUGAACCAUUUAAAACCCUUUCAAGAUCCAUUAUAUGAAAAAAUUGAAAUAAAUACCUCUUCUCCCCCAGAUCUCUAAUUUGAACUCUCUUCACCGAAUGCCACACGUUUGCCAUUGUAUUACUCAUUGCUGGAAAAUGGACAAUACUUGCUGUUAAAAAACAUCCUACCAAUUGCAAAACUUCCACUUCUCCAUUCGUUUCCACAUCAGAUUGAAUCUGGAGAAUUAUGUCUUCCUCCUCUAACAAGAAAAUCUGUAUAAAGCAACGUCGUCACAUCAAGAUCAAAAACAAAAACCAAAAAAACCUAAAACUGCUAAAAAGCAGACAGAGACGUGCUAACUUAGCAGACUUUACUUUAUUGUUUCAACCAUUUUAAUUAUUAUUAUUAGAAAAUUUUAAAGAGAGUAAAUAAUUAGUCAUGGUUAAAAUAUGUUCCAAGUUGUGUUUUAUCUUUAUCUUUUUAUGUCUCAAUAUUGAACAAUCUUAAGCUUUACUGCAAUAUAAUAUUAAGUUUUCUUGUA
This is a long non-coding RNA of Gossypium raimondii (Peruvian cotton), 5084 nucleotides long. RefSeq lists it as uncharacterized. The record is from RefSeq and is a predicted model, not a curated record. Lineage: Eukaryota; Viridiplantae; Streptophyta; Magnoliopsida; Malvales; Malvaceae. The transcript is spliced from 5 exons.